Molecule: non-coding RNA, 226 nt
Organism: Paramuricea clavata
Lineage: Eukaryota; Metazoa; Cnidaria; Anthozoa; Malacalcyonacea; Plexauridae
Source: the annotation of a GenBank genome assembly
CUAUCUAGUAUAUGUAAGAUAUCUAUGCUCCAGAUAUGUAUAGAGCUCACUGGAUAUAGACGCCAGCUAUGGUGUAGAAGGAAUGUAUGCAAAUGAUAUAGGCGACACAGAUAAAACGAUCAGGUUGUUGCAAUAUUGAUGAUAACAGGAUUGAACAAUGUUGUGCGGCCCACAUUGUUCACAGUUGUCAACAAUAUUGAACAAUAUUGUUACACCCGAUUCAGGC